UUCCUACGGAAGCUUAUCAUCAGCCACCAUUCUUCUUUUCCUUCUCAAACCAGCCGUGCAACACCAAGAGAAGGAGACCAAAAUUCCUUCUUCAUUCACCUCUCAAACUUGCACCAAAUCACUUGAAAUUUCUACCACAAACUCACAACAACUUGGAGAUUCAUCUAGGCAAGGAGGGGAGCUUCAUUUCCACGGUUUUCUUGAGGCUCAAAGUGACCAAAAAUUUCUGAUCUAGUCAUCCAAGAAGGUAGCAAAUCAUCCAACCCAUAGAUCUUAGUUUUUGUAAGAUAUAUUGCACAUAUACGGUUAUAUAAUCAUGUGGGUAGCUUUGUUUAUGGUGUAAAAUGAAAUGGGUGGGCUCUAUGAACUCCCACCUUUGUCUUGGGGACUGAUAUCAUGCUUGAUGAUGGAUUUAAUGUUGGUUUAGUGCUCAAAAUGGUAGAUUAAUGGUGUAUAACUAGUAGAAACUUCAAGGAGUGCAUGGAGUAAAAAGUGACCGUUUUACCCCUGCCUUGUCCGACCAUUUUUGUGCAACAUUUUGAGGUUCUAAUGACUUGAUUAUGUUGUUUACAUGUUAUUGUGAGUGUGUACAAAAUUUCAUCGAAAAAUAACAUGAUUUGGUUGGUCAAAUGAGUUGAUUUCCAAAGUCAGCAAAACUGGAAAAUGAAUCCCGUAUUGGCCAGGCAGUCAUUUUGUAUCGACCAUAACUCUUUGCUCCGAUGUCGAAAUCAAGUGCCGUUUGCGGAACUGGAAACUAGACAUUCCCAGAUUUCCAUUGGUACCAAUUUUACAUUCUGGUUCCACUUGAGUGAGCCACACCAUUCGAUUGAAAAUCACUGUCCUGUUUCGUUGCUCUCCAGGAGACAGGACAGAAAUUGCUUCUUGAUGCUCAAAAACGAGCUGUUUGUGAAUGGAAUUUGAAAAUGGUUUCUUCUGAGAAAAUUUAUCUUUAUGAGAGAGCUUUCCAACGCCAUUAACCACGCCCAAUUCCAAGUUAAAUUGAGUGAGUUGUGGCCAAUGUUUGAAACUGCUACAGUGAUAGAAUUUUCCACCUGGACAGAUUUGUAACUAACAAUGAUUUGGGACUUGUUUUCUGAAGCUUCUUGGUAUAAAUCACCUAUAAAAUGUACCUUAGACAUUAUCUACUGAAAUGAACCGUGUUUGAGGUGUUUUAUUGGCCAAACAUUUUGAAAAUGGAAAAACGGAAGUCCAAGGCAGAUUUGCCGAGGAACUUCUUGGGACUUUAGUGAUUUCGUUAACCAACUUUACGAAUGAAUUUUCCUACAAAAUUUGGUAGAGAAAUAGCCCUUAUAUGGUAGGAUAAUACUGCCAAAUUUGGUGCCAUUCCAAGUCCGUUUCAGUGUUCAACCAACGUCCCAAAGUUCAUGUUUAAAUCUGGAAAUUCUUGAUCGAGGAGGAAUUUUUAGCAAACUUUGAGCUGCUAUAUCUUGGCGCUCAAAACUUCAAUUCUUGUACCGUUUGUUUCAUUUUAAACUUUGAUUGUAGCUCUAAUUGAGUUCUAAAUUUCGGAGGUUAGUUCGUAUUGUGUGAAUUUUGCCGGAUUUUCAAAGAUGGUCAAAAACCAACCCCGAAACUGUCUAAAUGGUCCCAAGCAGCAACUUUGAGUCAAUUUUUGAAUACCUUCUGUUUGGAAUCAUGGAAAAGUAUCUUCUAGGAACUUUUAGUUCUUUUGAAGAAGUUUCCAACGGUAUCACGCUUUCCAAUUUUGGACCUACAUAGUGCAAGAUACGAUUUUUCUAAAAUUGACACCCAAAGUUGAAAUUUGUCAAUUUCUUAGAAAAUAAAAUUUUGGAAAUUUGCCUUCUUUUCUCGAUACCGAUUGAACAUUUUGAACUCGAUUUCAUGGAAAAUAUUAGUCUCUCUCUUUAGACUUUAAAACUUUACUCUUGAGCCUCGAUUAUUAAUAAUUAAGGCCCAAUUAAUGAAUUCUCCUUAGAUUGUACAACCUUCUUUGAUAAGUAGGGGUUCUAAGUGAUAGUGUAUAAUAGUUAAUGGUUAUUUGCCCAGGCGCUCAAGGGGACCUUCAAGAGGAACUCGAAGUGGACGCCUAGGCAUUUGUUUGAGUAUUACUCUCUUGUUGCUAUAGGUGAGUGUUCCAUAUAGGAAUACGUAAUUGGAAUAAAUCUAUGACAUGCAUAACCCAUGAUCAUUAAGUGUUAAGUGCUAUAUGUUAGGUAUUUACCACACUCAUGCAUAUCUGAAUAAGGUAUACUUGAAUUACUCGACAUGAAAUACCUGAAAUAUGUAUACUUGAACUAUUCGAUAUGAAAUGCUUAAAGAGCAUAUUUAUGUGAUUACUUGAAAUACUAGAUAUGAAAUGCUUGGAGAGCAUAUCUACAUGAUGUGUUUAAAUGAUUAAUUAUGCUAUGAUAGCAUAAGUCGGUUGGAGUGAAUCUCCUCGACUCUUACGUUGAAAAAGUGAAAAACGGCCAAUGGUGGCCUAUUAAAAUGACAUAUGUCUACCAAUUAACCGUAAUUACCACCGUUAACCAUUUACCGUUUACCGUUUACCGUUAACCAUGUUUACUUACCGUUUUCUAAUCUAUUCGCCUACUUGCUUACUUGAUUAUCUGCUUACGUGAUCACCAACUUACUUGAUCACUUGAUUAUCGUGAAUCGCAUGUUAUAUGAAGCUGUCCAUCAUUGUUAGGCGAGUGUGUACUUUACCUCACUCGACCUACUCAAAUGAUGAAUUUUACCUUUUGCCGAAUUACUUGAUUACUUGUGCAUGUUGUAAGCUCUAAGCUGAACUGGGCCCUGCUCAUGGUUACUAACCUACUCGAGCCAGGACUGGGCUCGGUCGGGUAGGUUGGAACCUUGGGACACCGUUUCGGUAUACUCGAGUAUUACCACUGGAGGGAUAAGGUGAUGGCCAGUCAAACCGAGGGGAUCCGGAAGUCAUAAGGUGCAGAUGACCGACAGAGUUCCACUGGAACACCGUAUCCUACCGUAUAUGUUUACCUUGUAUCAUGAUAAUUGUUUCAUGCUAAAAUGCCAACAUGAAAUCCUGAGCUAUGCCUGUGAUAUGCUCCAUACCUGUUAACUGACCAAUGUACUCAUACCAUGAUACCUGUCUCAUACCAUGAUAAAUGUCUCAAAUUACUCGUACAAUGAUUAUCACCUCAUGAUAACAUGCCAUUGUGCAACCUUGAACCAUGCAUAUGAUAUGCCCAACUUACUUGAUUUAUUUGAACUGUUAGAGUGUCUUGGAACCUCACUGGGCUGUGUAGCUCAUCCCACGUUGUGGUUUUCUUUUAUAGGGUUCGAGACCAAGGGUGCUCGUGAGUAGUACUAGAUUGUUUUCUUUUGGAGACUUUAAGUUAUAUUAUAACGGAUGGCUAUUGUACCCUUUUCCGUUGGGUUGUAUUUAAGCUUGAAAGCUGCAUAAUUGUAAGUGUGAGAUAUUUGAAGUACUUUAAUUAUGUAUUGAGGUUACUUAAAGUAUUUCGAGCUUUUGAAUGAUGGAUUGUAGUGAGUCCUGGCGAGAGCUGGGCAGGCGUCCCGCGGAUACCCUUUGGUUCGCCUUAGGGAGAAGUGGGGGCGU
RNAcentral lists this long non-coding RNA (3565 nucleotides) under Coffea arabica (coffee). Its description in RNAcentral is "long non-coding RNA (CARA_LNC003416)". Lineage: Eukaryota; Viridiplantae; Streptophyta; Magnoliopsida; Gentianales; Rubiaceae. The record is from RNAcentral.